ACUGGUGGCACAAAUGAAGAAGCUUUGAAAGAGUUUGCAAAGUUGCUUUCCGAAGAAAAAAAAUCCAGAAAUCCCAAAGUACCUACUACAAAUAAAUUGUAGAGGCGAAAUCGUGAUUUGGUAUAAAUGAAUCCUAGAUUUUAUGAUUUUGAAAUAAUAUUUGUAAUUCAAUUUCUGUAUUCUAGCUUUUGAUUGUUGGGCCGAUGUAAUAAUAUUCAAUAGUGUGUUAUGUAAAAAUUUUGUUACGUGCUUGA
This is a long non-coding RNA of Solanum stenotomum, 254 nucleotides long. RefSeq lists it as uncharacterized. The transcript has 2 exons. NCBI's taxonomy places the organism in Eukaryota, Viridiplantae, Streptophyta, Magnoliopsida, Solanales, Solanaceae. The record is from RefSeq and is a predicted model, not a curated record.